Ostrinia nubilalis (European corn borer) is the source of this 2048-nucleotide long non-coding RNA. RefSeq lists it as uncharacterized. The transcript has 2 exons. The record is from RefSeq and is a predicted model, not a curated record. Lineage: Eukaryota; Metazoa; Arthropoda; Insecta; Lepidoptera; Crambidae.
AAGUUAUUACGUUUUCUUUACAAUAAGUAAUUGGAAGAAAAAAAAUUCUAAAAAAAAUUUAAAAAAAAUCGCAAAAAUUUUUUGACCUCUUUUUUGUCGAUAAAAAUAGGUCUAUAGUCCGAUUUUUAAUUCGACGGAAUUCUGACAGCUGUCAUUUUUUGACAAUUCAGAUGUAAUAAGCCUUUUUUGCUUUGAAUUAUUAAUAAAUAAUAUGAAAUGAAAUUUCAUCAAGUACAACUUACAAGAAUGAACUAUUGUUUGUUUUGUGAAUUUAAUGUACCCUAAUUAUUAUGUACAUUUUAAAGAUUAAAUAGAAAAAAACGUGUUUUAAACACGGUAAAACAACAUAUUAUCAUAAACAAAAAUAUGUAUUGAUCAUCAAUCAUCAUUAUCGUCAUCAUAAUCAACUUGGAUUAUAAAAUUGGCAUCUUGUUAAAUUGAUUAUUUUAUGAAGCUAAGAUUUUAUUAACAAAAGGAUUUUCAUAAAAAAGGUUUGUAACCCAUGGAUUAUUGGCCAGGGAGUCCAGUAAUAGAAAAAUAAUUUCCCAAUUUUUUUUGUAACUUCAAAAGUAUGAUAAUAAAAAUUCAAAUAACCAUUUUGAAAUGAUCGGUACAUUUUUAAGCCUUAGUUUUUCAAGUGAAACCUUUAAUUCAAGAAAGGAUUAUUUUUUAAUUUAUGAAAAUGCUCUCCAUUCUUAGUGGGAAUGUUUCAAUGUUGACAACACUUCUGAAAUGUCAAAAUUCCGUCGAAUUAAAAAUCAGAGUUUAGUUUUAUUUAUUUUCAUAUGUACACUUUAACGUGACUCACACUGUAUACAUGGGGGUGAUUUAGGUACACCUUGAUGUAAGGAAUCUAAAUUUUUCUUUUAGACCUCACUGUUUUGGCCACCCUGUAAAUGUGUGUGAGCGUUACGUACGUAGGUUUAGUACAGGGAAUUUAACACCAGGCUGUCAAUUAGUAGGUUCAAAAAUUUGACAGAGAGGGCUCUCUAUUUCCUAUGUAUUACUUUUCUCUAUGGUAUUCAACUUCAACAAAAUAGGGGAAUACCAUCAUUUCCUGUAAUAUAAAAAUAGGUUUCUAUUCAUUCCGCGUUUAUAAUCUCAAUCAUCUUUUGUUAUAAUUAUUGCCAGUUUUUGCUGUAUUGUGUAAAUUGUUAUCUACUUUAUUUGUCUCAAAAUAGGUACCUUACUGUGUGUAAUAGUCAUUCAUCGUCUGUUCUGUGUGCAAGCAGUAUCUAAUUAUUAACAAGACUGACAAUAAAUACCGCCUACUCGCCUAUUACAAAAGGUGUACCUAAAAACAACAACGAUGUUAAAAAGUAACCAAAAAGAUAUCAAAGAGUUACUGGAGAGUGAUGAUGAAUUUCCACCUGAUUAUCAUGAAAUUCCGGAUACCCCAGCAUACCAAAAUGACAUGCGUUUUGAACCAGUAAAAUUUGGAUGGAUUGAUACUAAUUUCAGCAAAUAUUAUAGUAAAAGGAAUGAAACAAAAACGAGGUUAACUGCAUUGCAUUCUUGUUUGAAUGAAAGCUUUGUACAUAACAAGACCCAAUAUUUAAGACCAGGUGAAAAGGCAUUGAUUUAUAAUGGAGUGCUGAGUGAAUCUGAUAUUGUAUGCCUUAAAUAUGUGGAGUCUCUAACAAGUGAUGCUACAUUGCUGUGGUUUAUACAUUUUUUGAUACAAAAAGAUAUGCACACAAACUUUACUUUUCUGAGAACUUGCCUUGUGGAUUCAAUGAGCAUCAAUAAUGAUCAAAGUCCAUUAACAUGUGACUCAGAAAUCAAAAAAUUUAACUUUGAAAUCAUCUACAAUAAAUAAUUAGGUAUUAAGCCCACAAUUUAUACAAUACACCUCGAGUUAGUUGAAUAAAUAAAAUAAUGAUUGUACCUAUUAUUAAGUUUACUCAUAAGAUACGCUAAAUUUUUUAAUUAAUGUAUUUUACUACUGGAUUAAGUACUUUUAUCUAUUUUUAAAACUGACAAUCAAAACUUUUGUUUUCAUUAUUGACAAACUUUAAGCUUUUGUAAAUAAAUUUUUUUUGAAUAUU